GGAGUCUUCAUCCUCAUUGCGCUUCCUGGACAAUCGUACCCUCAUCCUGUAUGGCACAUUCCUGUAAAUAACACAGGUGAACGUUAGUCUCAUCCUGUAAAUAACACAGGUGAACGUUAGUCUCAUCCUGUAAAUAACACAGGUGAACGUUAGUCUCAUCCUGUAAAUAACACAGGUGAACGUUAGUCUCAUCCUGUAAAUAACACAGGUGAACGUUAGUCUCAUCCUGUAAAUAACACAGGUGAACGUUAGUCUCAUCCUGUAAAUAACACAGGUGAACGUUAGUCUCAUCCUGUAAAUAACACAGGUGAACGUUAGUCUCAUCCUGUAAAUAACACAGGUGAACAUUAGUCUCAUCCUGUAAAUAACACAGGUGAACAUUAGUCUCAUCCUGUAAAUAACACAGGUGAACAUUAGUCUCAUCCUGUAUGGAACGUUCCUGUAAAUAACACAGGUGAACGUUAGUCUCAUCCUGUAAAUAACACAGGUGAACGUUAGUCUCAUCCUGUAAAUAACACAGGUGAACAUUAGUCUCAUCCUGUAAAUAACACAGGUGAACAUUAGUCUCAUCCUGUAAAUAACACAGGUGAACAUUAGUCUCAUCCUGUAAAUAACACAGGUGAACAUUAGUCUCAUCCUGUAAAUAACACAGGUGAACGUUAGUCUCAUCCUGUAAAUAACACAGGUGAACGUUAGUCUCAUCCUGUAAAUAACACAGGUGAACAUUAGUCUCAUCCUGUAAAUAACACAGGUGAACAUUAGUCUCAUCCUGUAAAUAACACAGGUGAACAUUAGUCUCAUCCUGUAUGGAACGUUCCUGUAAAUAACACAGGUGAACAUUAGUACUAAGCAGAAUGAAAACAUGCUUGUGCAACAAGUUGUAGUGUUAUUUGUGUCAACAACCAUAAGUGGUUGUAUGGGCAGAGAAAGAGCUGUUACCGAACCCUUUCCUCAAGCACCCCCAGCUACUCCAUGUUUUUGAUAUUUGAACACGUAUUUGUUCCUGAGGAAGCACACCUGGGCCACGUUCAGCUGCCAAACGUUCUCGAACGUUGCAGAUAGAAAUGCCAUGAACAGAGCCGAUGUGAUUCCUUAUUCUACAUGUCAGAGAGGCAUGUUUGAUCAACAUACCCUAUUUCUAUCUGAAUGUUCCAAAACGUUUGAUCCUGCUGAAAGCGCCCCAUUCAACUAAUGGGCUUAGUGAUUGUUUAACCAACUUAAUAUGGUUUGGGAAACACGAGUACAGUAAUACCUGAUUCAUAUGAUAACAGGGUGUAUUCACUAGACACCAAAUGGAAGCAAACAGCAGAAAUGGGGAGAAACCUCUGAACUUGUCCAAUAGAAACCCCAUGUUUACUGUUGCAAAACAUUCUGCUACAGUGUGCACUAAUGAAUACACCCGAUUAAUCUUUAAACAGGCGUCUC
Oncorhynchus keta (chum salmon) is the source of this 1425-nucleotide long non-coding RNA. RefSeq lists it as uncharacterized. Lineage: Eukaryota; Metazoa; Chordata; Actinopteri; Salmoniformes; Salmonidae. The transcript is spliced from 5 exons. The record is from RefSeq and is a predicted model, not a curated record.